GACAGGAUGGCCGAGUGGUUAAGGCGACAGAUUUGAACUCGUUAUGGCGUUCCGGCUCCCUCCGGCCGCGAUAAGGACAACAUUCCAUCUGUUUCACUUUGUGAGCGUGAGUUCAAACCUCACUCCUGUCG
This 131-nucleotide transfer RNA is filed under the name Puccinia graminis f. sp. tritici. It matches the Rfam family "tRNA". Rfam says of the family: Transfer RNA (tRNA) molecules are approximately 80 nucleotides in length. Their secondary structure includes four short double-helical elements and three loops (D, anti-codon, and T loops). The record is from Rfam by way of RNAcentral. Lineage: Eukaryota; Fungi; Basidiomycota; Pucciniomycetes; Pucciniales; Pucciniaceae.